UGUUAGUAUAUUAGGUCUGUAUAUUAUGCAAAGUGCAACAUGGACAUGGUGGAUAGUUUUCAAGCAUGGAGCAGCUCACGCAAAUUUUUUAUUGUGGAAUUGUUCUCUGACCGUGGUAGUAGAUUUGAAUUUUAUGAAAGUAUAACCUAUUUAGAGCCACUGCACAGCUGCUGUUUUAAACUUGCAUGUGAUGAGAUCACAGUCAGAGUCAGGCCACGUCAUGGACAUGAAGUCAGGAAUAUAGAAAUACAGAACAGCAGCCUGGAAGUGAUGCUGGUUAACAUGUAGUCUAGUGGGAUGUGUUUUAAUCAGUACUUCUUGUUCCAUCAUUUGACAACAGUAACAGAAAAAUCUUAAAAGGUUGGUUGUAUUGAGAUGCAGUAGUGUUAAACACAGAGAGGAGGAGAGAAGUAAACACAUAUAAAAUGCUUCUUCACUGAAUAGCGCCUGUGUUACGGCCAGCGCCUCCUACCCUGUGUGUGUGUUUUAACUAUAUAUUGUGGCUAUGCAAAUAGGGCUGUGUGAUCCCCACUCCCUGGUUGGACCACGACGGCAGAGGCGUGACUGCAACCAGGAGUCCUGUGAUUGGUGCGGCGCUCACCAGGCUGACCAACCGAAAACUGCCAACUCUUUUAAAAGCGUUGGCAGUUCAAGUGAACGGAGCAGCUGGUUUCCAGCGUGUCAUUCUGUGUUUCUGUGUGGUUGAGGCAGAUACACUGUGUGGUAGGAAUUUAAAGGAGUUAAAAACUGAUACAGCAACAUUUCAUUACAGGUCGUUUUCUUUUGUCUAGUUUUCACCAGGGUUAGGAGUGCUGACUCUCAUGUAGUUUUGUUUUGUGCCAGGUCCCAGAGAGAAAAACUCCCAUAAUCUCCGUUCAGAGGCAGAUAGUGGAGGGGGACAUUUUUCAGGCCAACUGCAGCAUUAACUACUCCUGUCCUUCCUCACCUCCAUCCAUCCACUGGAAGAAAAGCUCAUCUCUGGAAAGCUCCACUUUCACCAGGGAAGUGCAAGGCCAGUGGUUAUAUAGAGAAACAAUGCACGGACUGGCAACAAAUGAAAUCCAUAACGGCAAACUGAGUUUUUCUGCACAGUUCAGAACCUUCACCACACAAAGUCAAGAAAUUACACUCAACAUUUUAUAUAAACCUGUUGCUGUAAGUCUGAAACUGGAAAACAAACCAGUGACAGAGGGUGGCAGCUCUGGUUAACUCCAAAGCUCAGCACAAGCAGCUGGUGGAGGAUCUCUGUCGCUCCUCCUUCACCCCAGCAGGUGGAGGCAUUUGGCCGCCCUCCCUGAGCCUGGUUCUGCUGGAGAUGUUGGCUCAUGGCAACUCGGCUGAUUUCACCUGUGAGAUGACUGUUGGAGUUUUGGCGAUUCUUCAGAGCCCUGAAAAAUACAGAAGAACAUGCAGCAUCAGUGUUGUAUUUGAUUUGCAUUUGUUCUUUCUCACUGCGCUUGUUUUUCCACAGGAUGAAACCACAGAGAAAGCAAGAGUAUAGGAAAGGUCAGCCUCUUCUACAAAAGCUGGUCCAUGCUAGGUGAUGGUCAGCGAACAGCAAUAAAAGAUAUGUAGCAAAUGAAAUACAAAUCUCUCAAAGGGCCAAGGCAUGUGGAUUGAAAAAAGUGAAUUCUCCAAAAUCAUUAAAUGUCCUAACAGAAAACAAUUUCAAAUUUUUAGACUAACAAAGAAAUUCAUUCUGGAUGUGAUACACUGCCAAGAAAAACAAUUCACCACACUUCCAUGUCUCCCCUUUCAUUGCUUUUUGGUCUUCAAUUUAAUUUGGGUUUUUGACAAAAAAAAAAAAUGGAGAAAAAAUGACUUUCAUGUCAAAGUUCAAACAGGUUUUUCCAAAGUAAAGUCAGCGAAUUAAAAAUACAAAACUUCAAACAAGUGACUGUGUGGUAGAAUAGGUGGUCCUACCAAGGGGUAGUCGGUUUCUAUUCUUAUUUCUUAAUUAGGUCGGUAUACAAUAAACUGAGUGCACAUCUCACUUCCUGUUAUCUGGUGUCUGCAGAUGUGGCUGCUUUGUCUGGUGCUGCUUUGGCUAAAUUAACUGUGCAUGUUGAUGGGGUUUAACUCUUAUGCCUUAACUGAUGAGUCAGGUGACUGAAUAUCCCAAUAAAAAAGGAAACGUUAGUUGUGCUUUCAUGCAUUUAACAUGUUGCCUUAUAAAAAAACCUCCUCCAUAUAGUAAGAUGGCUGAAAAAGUUAGGGGUAGUCUUCAUUUUAGUGUCUCAAAAGCUGUAAACUUACUUGAUAACACACAGCAGAGCACAAAAUAGUGCAAGCAAGAUGGCAAUUUUGGUAAAGAACAUCAGAAAUAGCACUGGAUCUGAAACAUAAAAUUGAAGAUUAGGACAUAAUUCGGACAUUCAUUUUUUAUAGAAGUAUGGAUAGCCUGCAUAAAUCAGCUUAAACAUGCUAUGACUUAUUGUCUUUUUGUCAUUUAUACCUACAAAUGCUUUUUUCCUUUAUCAAGACAGAGGUAUAUGUCAGUAUGUGGCUUUAUUGUUUCUUUUUAUGUCCUUGCUUUAUUCGUUGAGAAUGGUCUCCAGUAUACUAUUUUACACAAUAAUGUUCACUUACUUUGGUCUGCAUAUAAGAUGGUAUAUUAGGUUUGUGACCACAGUCUUCUGCAGAGUGUUGCAUUAUGGGUUGUUGGUAGUUUUUGACAAAACAUUAAAACCAUGCAUAUAACAUGUUGUAGUCCAACUUGUGCCACCAAAAGGGAACAGUUCUGAACCAUCUAGAGAUAGCCUCAACCUGACAGUCCAGUCAGUUGUGAGAUGGACUUAUUUAUCCAGCACAGAUGCUCGAUUGGAUUAGGUUGAAUUAGAUUUGUGACUAUGGUCUUCUACAGAGUUUUGCAUUGCACAGGGGUCAGGAUGGGUACUCAGACUUGGUUGCGCAAACUUUUGACUAUCAGUCAAAAGUUUGGACACACCUUCUUAUUUACAGUUUUUUCUUUAUUUUCAUGACUAUUUACAUUGUAGGUUCUCACUGAAGGCAUCAAAACUAUGAAUGAAGACAUAUGGAAUCAUUUAGUAAACAAAAAAGCUGCAAAGCAAUGUGUUUUAACAGAUCCGUCACAGCCAAACUUAAGGCUUUCAACUAUUUGUGCUGCAGAAGCUCUUCUGUGGGUUCAGAUUACACAGGCGGUCCUUUACAAUAGUGAGCCUUGGGUGCCCAUGACCCCGUUGUCAGUUCGUUGCUAACCCCUUCCUUGGACCACUAUUGGUGGUUACAAGCCACUACAUACUGGCAACAUCCCACAAAACUUAUAAAAAAAAAAAAAUUUAAAAAAAAAAGCAUUCUUCUGUGGGAGAAGUGGUGAUUUUUUUCUGGAUUACCAGGUCAUGGCAAAACAGUAGGUUUUGUGAUGCUUUGCAAUAAUAUUUGCAUUCCCUCUGAUCCACAGAGGAAGGCUGAGGAAUGAUAUAUGAGACCACUGCUGAUUCUACCUUCUAAAACCACUAACAAGCAGGAAAGACAUCAUGUAAAGUCUCACACUACGUCUACGUUCUGUAGAUGCUACCGAGCUGUCUGCUUAACUGGGAGUGUAGUAUAACUAGCCUAAACUGAAGUUAAAUAUUACAAAAAAAAAUAGAAAACAGACCAUGACUUUCAGCACAUGCUUGAUGCUCAAGGCAGAAUUGUUGACUGGCAAAUCCAAGAGAGUUGAAGCUGUGGCAGAUCAAGAUGGAACGAUUCAUCUCUUGUGGUUGAUUCACAGUGAUGAAGCUCCUCAGACCUUUGUCAUUAUGUAGACGCUCACUGCUGAUCACAAACUUGUCAGACUGACUGACAGGCUGACCAUCCAAAGACCAGUGUAAAGUGGGAAAAGGAUUUCCCACAGUCUCACAGGAACAGUUGAUCUGGCCUGCAGUUUUGAUGCAAUCAGAUGAUGGCAGGAUCUGUGGAGGAACUGCAAUCAAAGUAGGCAGAAGAAUCAGUGUAAGUCAAUAUAAUUUGACAAAAUAAAAAAAGAUGUACUGACAAAAUAAUGGUUGAAAAGUUAUAAGACUGAUUGAAGUGAACCAGUGAAGAGAAUCAUGAUGCAAAGUGAGAUCCUUUCGAAUCAUGUGAUCCAUACAAUAAACAUCUGUUUUACUGAUGACUGAAUGCC
Long non-coding RNA from Amphiprion ocellaris (clown anemonefish), 4129 nucleotides. RefSeq lists it as uncharacterized. Lineage: Eukaryota; Metazoa; Chordata; Actinopteri; Pomacentridae. The record is from RefSeq and is a predicted model, not a curated record. The transcript is spliced from 5 exons.